Molecule: ribosomal RNA, 206 nt
Filed under: uncultured bacterium
Lineage: Bacteria
Description: partial 16S ribosomal RNA
Rfam family: Bacterial small subunit ribosomal RNA
Source: RNAcentral
UACGUAGGCGGUUUAUUAAGUCAGAUGUGAAAGCCCCGGGCUUAACCUGGGAACUGCAUUUGAUACUGGUAAACUAGAGUAUGGUAGAGGGGGUAGAAUUCCUAGUGUAGCGGUGAAAUGCGUAGAUAUUAGGAGGAAUACCAGUGGCGAAGGCGGCCCCCUGGACCAAUACUGACGCUGAGGUACGAAAGCGUGGGUAGCGAACA